UUCGGAACGGACGCUAAUACCGCAUACGUCCUACGGGAGAAAGCAGGGGUACCUUCGGGCCUUGCGCUAUCAGAUGAGCCUAGGUCGGAUUAGCUAGUUGGUGAGGUAAUGGCUCACCAAGGCUACGAUCCGUAACUGGUCUGAGAGGAUGAUCAGUCACACUGGAACUGAGACACGGUCCAGACUCCUACGGGAGGCAGCAGUGGGGAAUAUUGGACAAUGGGCGAAAGCCUGAUCCAGCCAUGCCGCGUGUGUGAAGAAGGUCUUCGGAUUGUAAAGCACUUUAAGUUGGGAGGAAGGGCAUUAACCUAAUACGUUAGUGUUUUGACGUUACCGACAGAAGAAGCACCGGCUAACUCCGUGCCAGCAGCCGCGGUAAUACGGAGGGUGCGAGCGUUAAUCGGAAUUACUGGGCGUAAAGCGUACGCAGGCGGUUUGUUAAGCGAGAUGUGAAAGCCCCGGGCUCAACCUGGGAACUGCAUUUCGAACUGGCAAACUAGAGUGUGAUAGAGGGUGGUAGAAUUUCAGGUGUAGCGGUGAAAUGCGUAGAGAUCUGAAGGAAUNANCNCNGANUGGNCGAAGGCAGCCACCUGGGUCAACACUGACGCUCAUGUACGAAAGCGUGGGGAGCAAANGGAAAAANGAUACCCCGGUAGUCCACGCCGUAAACGAUGUCUACUAGAAGCUCGGAGCCUCGGUUCUGUUUUUCAAAGCUAACGCAUUAAGUAGACCGCCUGGGGAGUACGGCCGCAAGGUUAAAACUCAAAUGAAUUNGACGGGGGCCCGCNACAAGCNGGUGGAGCAUGUGGUUUAAUUNCGAUGCAACGCGNAAGAACCNUUACCUACACNUUGNACNAUACAGANGAACUUANCCANGANGAUGGNUUUGGUGCCUUCNGGGAACUCNUGANUANCAGGUGCUGCAUGGCUNGUCGUCAGCUCNGUGUUGUGNAGANUGUNGGGUUAAGUNCCCGCAACNGAGNCGCAACCCCUAUCCUUAGUUGCUNAGCAGGNUAAUNGNCUGANGAACUCUNAAGGAGACUGNCCGNGUGAUAAACCGGAGGAAGGUGGGGACGACGUCAAGUCNAUCNAUGGNCCCUUANCGUNGUANGGGCUACACNACNGUGNCUACAANUNGGCGCANUACAGAGUGCUGNCGAACCUGCGANANGGUAAGCGAANUCANCUUAAAGUGCGUCGUAGUCCGGAUUGGAGUCUGCAACUCGACUCCAUGAAGUCGGAAUCGCUAGUAAUCGCGUAUCAGAAUGACGCGGUGAAUACGUUCCCGGGCCUUGUACACACCGCCCGUCACACCAUGGGAGUGGGUUGCUCCAGAAGUAGAUAGUCUAACCCUCGGGAGGACGUUUACCCACGGAGUGAUUCAUGACUGGGGUGAAGUCGUUAACAAGGGUAACCA
Molecule: ribosomal RNA, 1417 nt
Filed under: uncultured bacterium
Lineage: Bacteria
Description: partial 16S ribosomal RNA
Rfam family: Bacterial small subunit ribosomal RNA
Source: RNAcentral